GGUUAAGCGACUAAGCGUACACGGUGGAUGCCCUGGCAGUCAGAGGCGAUGAAGGACGUGCUAAUCUGCGAAAAGCGUCGGUAAGGUGAUAUGAACCGUUAUAACCGGCGAUGUCCGAAUGGGGAAACCCAGUGCAAUUCGUUGCACUAUCGUUAACUGAAUACAUAGGUUAACGAGGCGAACCGGGGGAACUGAAACAUCUAAGUACCCCGAGGAAAAGAAAUCAACCGAGAUUCCCCCAGUAGCGGCGAGCGAACGGGGAGCAGCCCAGAGUCUGAAUCAGCUUGUGUGUUAGUGGAACGGUCUGGAAAGUCCGACGGUACAGGGUGAUAGUCCCGUACACCAAAAUGCACAGGCUGUGAACUCGAAGAGUAGGGCGGGACACGUGGUAUCCUGUCUGAAUAUGGGGGGACCAUCCUCCAAGGCUAAAUACUCCUGACUGACCGAUAGUGAACCAGUACCGUGAGGGAAAGGCGAAAAGAACCCCGGCGAGGGGAGUGAAAAAGAACCUGAAACCGUGUACGUACAAGCAGUGGGAGCACCUUCGGGUGUGACUGCGUACCUUUUGUAUAAUGGGUCAGCGACUUAUAUUCUGUAGCAAGGUUAACCGUAUAGGGGAGCCGCAGGGAAACCGAGUCUUAACUGGGCGUUAAGUUGCAGGGUAUAGACCCGAAACCCGGUGAUCUAGCCAUGGGCAGGUUGAAGGUUGGGUAACACUAACUGGAGGACCGAACCGACUAAUGUUGAAAAAUUAGCGGAUGACUUGUGGCUGGGGGUGAAAGGCCAAUCAAACCGGGAGAUAGCUGGUUCUCCCCGAAAGCUAUUUAGGUAGCGCCUCGUGAACUCAUCUUCGGGGGUAGAGCACUGUUUCGGCUAGGGGGUCAUCCCGACUUACCAACCCGAUGCAAACUACGAAUACCGAAGAAUGUUAUCACGGGAGACACACGGCGGGUGCUAACGUCCGUCGUGAAGAGGGAAACAACCCAGACCGCCAGCUAAGGUCCCAAAGUCAUGGUUAAGUGGGAAACGAUGUGGGAAGGCACAGACAGCCAGGAUGUUGGCUUAGAAGCAGCCAUCAUUUAAAGAAAGCGUAAUAGCUCACUGGUCGAGUCGGCCUGCGCGGAAGAUGUAACGGGGCUAAACCAUGCACCGAAGCUGCGGCAGCGACACUAUGUGUUGUUGGGUAGGGGAGCGUUCUGUAAGCCUGCGAAGGUGACCUGUGAGGGUUGCUGGAGGUAUCAGAAGUGCGAAUGCUGACAUAAGUAACGAUAAAGCGGGUGAAAAGCCCGCUCGCCGGAAGACCAAGGGUUCCUGUCCAACGUUAAUCGGGGCAGGGUGAGUCGACCCCUAAGGCGAGGCCGAAAGGCGUAGUCGAUGGGAAACAGGUUAAUAUUCCUGUACUUGGUGUUACUGCGAAGGGGGGACGGAGAAGGCUAUGUUAGCCGGGCGACGGUUGUCCCGGUUUAAGCAUGUAGGCUGAUUGUCCAGGCAAAUCCGGAUAAUCAAGGCUGAGGUGUGAUGACGAGGUACUACGGUGCUGAAGUAACAAAUGCCCUGCUUCCAGGAAAAGCCUCUAAGCAUCAGGUAACAUCAAAUCGUACCCCAAACCGACACAGGUGGUCAGGUAGAGAAUACCAAGGCGCUUGAGAGAACUCGGGUGAAGGAACUAGGCAAAAUGGUGCCGUAACUUCGGGAGAAGGCACGCUGGUGUGUAGGUGAAGCCCCUGCGGGUGGAGCUGAGACCAGUCGAAGAUACCAGCUGGCUGCAACUGUUUAUUAAAAACACAGCACUGUGCAAACACGAAAGUGGACGUAUACGGUGUGACGCCUGCCCGGUGCCGGAAGGUUAAUUGAUGGGGUUAUCCGUAAGGAGAAGCUCUUGAUCGAAGCCCCGGUAAACGGCGGCCGUAACUAUAACGGUCCUAAGGUAGCGAAAUUCCUUGUCGGGUAAGUUCCGACCUGCACGAAUGGCGUAAUGAUGGCCAGGCUGUCUCCACCCGAGACUCAGUGAAAUUGAACUCGCUGUGAAGAUGCAGUGUACCCGCGGCAAGACGGAAAGACCCCGUGAACCUUUACUAUAGCUUGACACUGAACAUUGAGCCUUGAUGUGUAGGAUAGGUGGGAGGCUUUGAAGCGUGGACGCCAGUCUGCGUGGAGCCAACCUUGAAAUACCACCCUUUAAUGUUUGAUGUUCUAACGUUGGCCCCUUACCGGGGUUGCGGACAGUGUCUGGUGGGUAGUUUGACUGGGGCGGUCUCCUCCCAAAGCGUAACGGAGGAGCACGAAGGUUAGCUAAUCCUGGUCGGACAUCAGGAGGUUAGUGCAAUGGCAUAAGCUAGCUUGACUGCGAGCGUGACGGCGCGAGCAGGUGCGAAAGCAGGUCAUAGUGAUCCGGUGGUUCUGAAUGGAAGGGCCAUCGCUCAACGGAUAAAAGGUACUCCGGGGAUAACAGGCUGAUACCGCCCAAGAGUUCAUAUCGACGGCGGUGUUUGGCACCUCGAUGUCGGCUCAUCACAUCCUGGGGCUGAAGUAGGUCCCAAGGGUAUGGCUGUUCGCCAUUUAAAGUGGUACGCGAGCUGGGUUUAGAACGUCGUGAGACAGUUCGGUCCCUAUCUGCCGUGGGCGCUGGAGAAUUGAGGGGGGCUGCUCCUAGUACGAGAGGACCGGAGUGGACGCAUCACUGGUGUUCGGGUUGUCAUGCCAAUGGCACUGCCCGGUAGCUAAAUGCGGAAGAGAUAAGUGCUGAAAGCAUCUAAGCACGAAACUUGCCCCGAGAUGAGUUCUCCCUGAGACUUUAAGUCUCCUGAAGGAACGUUAAAGACGAUGACGUUGAUAGGCCGGGUGUGUAAGCGCAGCGAUGCGUUGAGCUAACCGGUACUAAUGAACCGUGAGGCUUAACCUU
Molecule: ribosomal RNA, 2902 nt
Filed under: Klebsiella pneumoniae
Lineage: Bacteria; Pseudomonadati; Pseudomonadota; Gammaproteobacteria; Enterobacterales; Enterobacteriaceae
Description: 23S ribosomal RNA
Rfam family: Bacterial large subunit ribosomal RNA
Source: RNAcentral